RNAcentral lists this long non-coding RNA (406 nucleotides) under Fukomys damarensis (Damara mole-rat). Its description in RNAcentral is "lncRNA (ENSFDAG00000025164.1)". Lineage: Eukaryota; Metazoa; Chordata; Mammalia; Rodentia; Bathyergidae. The record is from RNAcentral.
GUUUGAUUACUGACGUGACUUACACUAACUCACCGCUUUUAUUGAGUUCUGUCUUAUUUCUCUUCUUUUUCAGAAUAUUCCCUAUGUUUGCGUUUGUUUCACUCAGGUUGGCAGUUCUUUUUCAAGUUGGAGAAAGUGCAGUUUUAAUUUUACUUGCAACAAAUGUAAUAGAUUAAUAGAGAGAAUAGAGCUCUUUAGACUUGUCUUCCUAUCCAAAUGCCAAGUCCGGGCUGCAGAAUGUUGAGAAUACUGAAGGAAGGGGAGUACAGAAGCAGCAAGUCAGAGAUGGAUGAAACUUUGUAUAUAAAGGACACCAGUGGACUGAACUUAGUGAAUAACCGCUGGUUUUCACCGGCACCAUUCAGGGAUAGCUGGACGGGGUAAAUCUCUUGAAGGAGGAAGAUAC